GAUGAACGCUGGCGGCGUGCCUAAUACAUGCCAGUCGAGCGAACGGACGAGAAGCUUGCUUCUCUGAUGUUAGCGGCGGACGGGUGAGUAACACGUGGAUAACCUACCUAUAAGACUGGGAUAACUUCGGGAAACCGGCGCUAAUACCGGAUAAUAUUUUGAACCGCAUGGUUCAAAAGUGAAAGACGGUCUUGAUGUCACUUAUAGAUGGAUCCGCGCUGCAUUAGCUAGUUGGUAAGGUAACGGCUUACCAAGGCAACGAUGCAUAGCCGACCUGAGAGGGUGAUCGGCCACACUGGAACUGAGACACGGUCCAGACUCCUACGGGAGGCAGCAGUAGGGAAUCUUCCGCAAUGGGCGAAAGCCUGACGGAGCAACGCCGCGUGAGUGAUGAAGGUCUUCGGAUCGUAAAACUCUGUUAUUAGGGAAGAACAUAUGUGUAAGUAACUGUGCACAUCUUGACGGUACCUAAUCAGAAAGCCACGGCUAACUACGUG
This 497-nucleotide ribosomal RNA is filed under the name uncultured bacterium. RNAcentral describes it as "partial 16S ribosomal RNA". It matches the Rfam family "Bacterial small subunit ribosomal RNA", at positions 28 to 507 of the family's 1533-position model. The record is from RNAcentral.